GCAUCUGUGGUGGAAAUGGUAGACACGCAGGACUUAAAAUCCUGUUCUAGCGAUAGAGUACGAGUUCGAGUCUCGUUAGGUGCA
This 84-nucleotide transfer RNA is filed under the name Agathobacter rectalis. RNAcentral's name for it is "tRNA-Leu". It matches the Rfam family "tRNA". From Rfam's summary of the family: Transfer RNA (tRNA) molecules are approximately 80 nucleotides in length. Their secondary structure includes four short double-helical elements and three loops (D, anti-codon, and T loops). The record is from RNAcentral. RNAcentral also lists the same sequence under 1 other name. Lineage: Bacteria; Bacillati; Bacillota; Clostridia; Lachnospirales; Lachnospiraceae.